GCUGGGCGCGGUGGCAGGUCCCUGUAGUUCCAGCUACUCGGGAGGCUGAGGUCGGAGGAUCGCUUGAGCCCAGGAGUUCUGGGCUGCAGUGCACUAUGCCAAUCGGGUGUCUGCACUAAGUUCGGCAUCAAUAUGGUGACCUCCCGGGAGGGGGGGACCACCAGGUUGCCUAAGGAGGGGUGAACCGGCCUAGGUCAGAAACUGGAGCAGGUCAAAACUCCCAUGCUGAUCAGUAGUGGGAUCGAGCCUGUGAAUAGCCACUGCACUCCAGCCUGGGCAGCAUAGGGAGACCCUGUCUCU
Molecule: signal recognition particle RNA, 300 nt
Filed under: Cebus imitator (Panamanian white-faced capuchin)
Lineage: Eukaryota; Metazoa; Chordata; Mammalia; Primates; Cebidae
Description: Metazoan signal recognition particle RNA (ENSCCAG00000003793.1)
Rfam family: Metazoan signal recognition particle RNA
About the family: The signal recognition particle (SRP) is a universally conserved ribonucleoprotein. It is involved in the co-translational targeting of proteins to membranes.
Source: RNAcentral